AAGUCGUAACAAGGUUUCCGUAGGUGAACCUGCGGAAGGAUCAUUAUUGAAUACCUUUCAGGGGGGUUCGCUCCGGGGUUAAACCCGGGCGGGCUUUCCCGUCCACACCAAACCCCUGUGCACCUUUCUCGAUGGGAAAUGCGGCUUUGCGGCUGCAAAGUACCGUCGCCGAUUCACAAACACUUUUGUAAACGUACAUGGAAUGAACACGCGGUGCUCCGCGACUAAACACAAAACAACUUUCAACAACGGAUCUCUUGGCUCUC
This 266-nucleotide unclassified non-coding RNA is filed under the name air metagenome. RNAcentral's name for it is "partial contains small subunit ribosomal RNA, internal transcribed spacer 1, and 5.8S ribosomal RNA". The stretch from base 1 to 46 matches the Rfam family "Eukaryotic small subunit ribosomal RNA", at positions 1786 to 1831 of the family's 1831-position model. The record is from RNAcentral.